This 845-nucleotide ribosomal RNA is filed under the name Salmonella enterica. RNAcentral describes it as "partial 23S ribosomal RNA". It matches the Rfam family "Bacterial large subunit ribosomal RNA", at positions 711 to 1556 of the family's 2925-position model. Lineage: Bacteria; Pseudomonadati; Pseudomonadota; Gammaproteobacteria; Enterobacterales; Enterobacteriaceae. The record is from RNAcentral.
AGACCCGAAACCCGGUGAUCUAGCCAUGGGCAGGUUGAAGGUUGGGUAACACUAACUGGAGGACCGAACCGACUAAUGUUGAAAAAUUAGCGGAUGACCUGUGGCUGGGGGUGAAAGGCCAAUCAAACCGGGAGAUAGCUGGUUCUCCCCGAAAGCUAUUUAGGUAGCGCCUCGUGAACUCAUCUCCGGGGGUAGAGCACUGUUUCGGCUAGGGGGCCAUCCCGGCUUACCAACCCGAUGCAAACUGCGAAUACCGGAGAAUGUUAUCACGGGAGACACACGGCGGGUGCUAACGUCCGUCGUGAAGAGGGAAACAACCCAGACCGCCAGCUAAGGUCCCAAAGUCAUGGUUAAGUGGGAAACGAUGUGGGAAGGCCCAGACAGCCAGGAUGUUGGCUUAGAAGCAGCCAUCAUUUAAAGAAAGCGUAAUAGCUCACUGGUCGAGUCGGCCUGCGCGGAAGAUGUAACGGGGCUAAACCAUGCACCGAAGCUGCGGCAGCGACACUUUAGUGUUGUUGGGUAGGGGAGCGUUCUGUAAGCCGUUGAAGGUGUCCUGUGAGGGGUGCUGGAGGUAUCAGAAGUGCGAAUGCUGACAUAAGUAACGAUAAAGCGGGUGAAAAGCCCGCUCGCCGGAAGACCAAGGGUUCCUGUCCAACGUUAAUCGGGGCAGGGUGAGUCGACCCCUAAGGCGAGGCCGAAAGGCGUAGUCGAUGGGAAACGGGUUAAUAUUCCCGUACUUGGUGUUACUGCGAAGGGGGGACGGAGAAGGCUAUGUUGGCCGGGCGACGGUUGUCCCGGUUUAAGCGUGUAGGUGUGUGUUCCAGGUAAAUCCGGUUCACUUUAAC